CACGAGGCUGGCUGGUUUUGGAGGACGCAGCGGCGCAGGUUAUCUUGAGGCGGCCGUAUCGGAGGUUAUUGGGAGGAGUAGUCGGAGCGGUGAGAAGUCGGAGAGAAGACGGAGAAGAGGUGGCGGAAGGCUUCAGAAAGGUAACCGAUUCAGCGGAGAAGAAAGUGGUGGAGGAAGAAAUCGCCAUUGGAAGCUGCUCUGAGAGGAGGGAAAGGAGAGUGUUUAGGGAAGGUUUAUCCUUUCAAUUUUGGGGAUUGGUAUAUGAUAUUUGAAGUGAAAGAGAUAAGAAAACUGACCAGUGGGGGGUAUUUUGGGCAAUGUCCAUGUGACUCCCGUUUCGAAGUUUUGAGCGGGCUCACUUAAAACCCCGGCAUCAUCACUUGCACUACCCAAAAUGCCCCCAAUGGUCUUUUCCACACUAAACCCCCACAAAAAAACUUCGAAUGGAUAAUCUUCACAAAAACCCCUCUUCCUCUCCUCAGUCCUCUCAGAGCAGCUGUCAAUGGCGAUUUCUCCAUCCACCUUCUUCUCCCCGGAAUCGGUUAACUUUCUCAUGUCUUCCGCCACCUCUCCUCCCUCUCCUCUCCGUCUUCUUGCCCCGUCUCCUC
This 608-nucleotide long non-coding RNA is filed under the name Linum usitatissimum (flax). RNAcentral's name for it is "long non-coding RNA (LUSI_LNC001912)". The record is from RNAcentral. Lineage: Eukaryota; Viridiplantae; Streptophyta; Magnoliopsida; Malpighiales; Linaceae.